UACGAAGGGAGCUAGCGUUGUUCGGAAUUACUGGGCGUAAAGGGCGCGUAGGCGGCUUGGCAAGUUGGGUGUGAAAGCCCAGGGCUCAACCCUGGAAUUGCACUCAAGACUGCCUUGCUUGAAUUCGGUAGAGGUUGGUGGAAUUCCCAGUGUAGAGGUGAAAUUCGUAGAGAUUGGGAAGAACACCCGUGGCGAAGGCGGCCAACUGGACCGACAUUGACGCUGAGGCGCGAAAGCGUGGGGAGCAAACAGG
This 253-nucleotide ribosomal RNA is filed under the name uncultured bacterium. RNAcentral describes it as "partial 16S ribosomal RNA". It matches the Rfam family "Bacterial small subunit ribosomal RNA", at positions 524 to 776 of the family's 1533-position model. The record is from RNAcentral.